This is a long non-coding RNA of Coffea arabica (coffee), 610 nucleotides long. RefSeq lists it as uncharacterized. The record is from RefSeq and is a predicted model, not a curated record. Lineage: Eukaryota; Viridiplantae; Streptophyta; Magnoliopsida; Gentianales; Rubiaceae.
UCCAAAAUUCUUGCGGAAUUUUUCAGUUGUAGAGUUGUAUACUCCAUUUUCUUUCCAAGAAAAGAAGAAAAGAACCAAAAACAGAAAACCAACAAAUACAUUGAGGGAAUCUGAGGAGCAAGAGGAGCUCGCUGCUGCCAUCACCAUUGCCGGAGUUGCUAUCUUCUUGCUAGAACCACCACUACUUAUAAAUCAUCAUGAAGGAAGCAGUAUGAAUGAAAUGGGACAGUGAUGCUGCAAUUUUGUUGUUUCUUUUUCACCUUUUCUGCCUGAAUAAGGCUUGACAAGAUAUUUUUCGACUCAGCCAUAAUCAAAUUUCAUACGAAAUAUUCAAUUUUUGUGAUGACCUUAAUCUUUUUGACAAAAUGCCCAAAUGAAAUAAGUUUGUAAGUAGACCUGAGAGUAUGUUUGAGAGCCAUUUCUCCUUUAAAUUUUGCUUCACUUUCCUGAGAGUAUAUUUGUAAGCACAUGACAUGUGUCUUUUGUAUAUGUUUAAUUCAUUUAAUUUACUACUCAAUUAAAUGAGUUAAACUUGGGGUAUUGAAAUGAAGAUUAAAUUUUGCACUCAUAACGUUUAUCUCACUCUAACAAUAUGAGUUGAAACUUUUAA